RNAcentral lists this ribosomal RNA (408 nucleotides) under uncultured bacterium. RNAcentral describes it as "bacterial SSU rRNA". It matches the Rfam family "Bacterial small subunit ribosomal RNA", at positions 355 to 775 of the family's 1533-position model. The record is from RNAcentral.
UGGGGAAUCUUGCGCAAUGGGCGAAAGCCUGACGCAGCGACGCCGCGUGGGGGACGAAGGCCCUCGGGUUGUAAACCCCUUUCGGCAGGGACGAAGCUAACGUGACGGUACCUGCAGAAGAAGUCCCGGCUAACUACGUGCCAGCAGCCGCGGUAAGACGUAGGGGACGAGCGUUGUCCGGAUUCAUUGGGCGUAAAGAGCGCGUAGGCGGCCCGGAAAGUCGGAUGUGAAACCCCGAGGCUCAACCUCGGGACUGCAUCCGAAACUUCCGGGCUAGAGGUAGGUAGGGGAGAUCGGAAUUCCUGGUGUAGCGGUGAAAUGCGCAGAUAUCAGGAGGAACACCGGUGGCGAAGGCGGAUCUCUGGGCCUUACCUGACGCUGAGGCGCGAAAGCUAGGGGAGCGAACAG